GUGAACGGUAGAGGUGCAAAAACCAUUAGUAAAUAUGCUGAGACAGAAUAGGCUGACGAUGAAGCAUAUGGAAAGGGGAAUUUGCCGAAGUAUAAUAAGCCUUAUUCUUAUUAUACUGGUACUGGUAUUGAAUAAAUCCAGUGCUGUCAUAUAGGAAACUAUGUGGAGGGCUAUCAGCUGA
Oceanobacillus oncorhynchi is the source of this 181-nucleotide regulatory RNA element. It matches the Rfam family "Lysine riboswitch aptamer". Rfam says of the family: Riboswitches are metabolite binding domains within certain messenger RNAs that serve as precision sensors for their corresponding targets. Allosteric rearrangement of mRNA structure is mediated by ligand binding, and this results in modulation of gene expression. Lineage: Bacteria; Bacillati; Bacillota; Bacilli; Caryophanales; Bacillaceae. The record is from Rfam.